UACGUAGGGUGCAAGCGUUGUCCGGAAUUAUUGGGCGUAAAGAGCUCGUAGGCGGUUUGUCGCGUCUGCUGUGAAAACUCGGGGCUUAACUCCGGGCCUGCAGUGGGUACGGGCAGACUAGAGUUCGGUAGGGGAGUCUGGAAUUCCUGGUGUAGCGGUGAAAUGCGCAGAUAUCAGGAGGAACACCGGUGGCGAAGGCGGGACUCUGGGCCGAUACUGACGCUGAGGAGCGAAAGCGUGGGGAGCAAACAGG
This 253-nucleotide ribosomal RNA is filed under the name uncultured bacterium. RNAcentral's name for it is "partial 16S ribosomal RNA". It matches the Rfam family "Bacterial small subunit ribosomal RNA", at positions 524 to 776 of the family's 1533-position model. The record is from RNAcentral.